GACGAACGCUGGCGGCGUGCCUAAUACAUGCAAGUUGAGCGCUGAAGGAUGGUACUUGUACCAACUGGAUGAGCAGCGAACGGGUGAGUAACGUGUGGGGACUCUGCCUUUGAGCGGGGGACAACAUUUGGAAACGAAUGCUAAUACCGCAUAAAAACUUUAAACACAAGUUUUAAGUUUGAAAGAUGCAAUUGCCUCACUCAAAGAUGAUCCCGCGUUGUAUUAGCUAGUUGGUGAGGUAAAGGCUCACCAAGGCGAUGAUACAUAGCCGACCUGAGAGGGUGAUCGGCCACAUUGGGACUGAGACACGGCCCAAACUCCUACGGGAGGCAGCAGUAGGGAAUCUUCGGCAAUGGACGAAAGUCUGACCGAGCAACGCCGCGUGAGUGAAGAAGGUUUUCGGAUCGUAAAACUCUGUUGGUAGAGAAGAACGUUGGUGAGAGUGGAAAGCUCAUCAAGUGACGGUAACUACCCAGAAAGGGACGGCUAACUACGUG
RNAcentral lists this ribosomal RNA (497 nucleotides) under uncultured bacterium. RNAcentral describes it as "partial 16S ribosomal RNA". It matches the Rfam family "Bacterial small subunit ribosomal RNA", at positions 28 to 507 of the family's 1533-position model. The record is from RNAcentral.